Hordeum vulgare subsp. vulgare (domesticated barley) is the source of this 482-nucleotide long non-coding RNA. RefSeq lists it as uncharacterized. NCBI's taxonomy places the organism in Eukaryota, Viridiplantae, Streptophyta, Magnoliopsida, Poales, Poaceae. The record is from RefSeq and is a predicted model, not a curated record. The transcript has 2 exons.
AACGACCCACCUGUUAUUCAUCUCCUUCCUGAAACCAUGCCCCGGGGCGCUGUCAUUGUUGCCGUUGCAGUCUCCACAUGCACCGCCUCCCCUUUCCUAUCCUCUCUCUGCUCCAUGGAGCCGUCGUCGCCUGCCGUGUUUCUCGAACAGGCCGCCGUCCAAGGGAGGCGCUGGGGACCGAGCCUAGCCCCACGGGAGCGCCUCAUCUACUCUCUCUCUGAUCCCACCGAUGCCCUCUUCAGCUCCUCCUCCUCCUCUUCUCCCCUACCCCUAGCCGAGGACAAAUCACAGUACCUUGGACCUGGAGUGGUAAUCUGACAUUUGGGAGGGCUGGUGUGUCGUUGAUUGCAUAAAGUUUAUGCAUGGAACAAGCUAUUUUUUCUUUUAUGAUGCAGGCAUGCUUUGUACGUAUGUCGCUGCAGAUUAUAUUAAUGUAUCAGUGGUACUAUGCAUCUAUUUGCAAUACAUGGUAUGAUGGAAAA